Molecule: long non-coding RNA, 936 nt
Filed under: Triticum aestivum (bread wheat)
Lineage: Eukaryota; Viridiplantae; Streptophyta; Magnoliopsida; Poales; Poaceae
Description: long non-coding RNA (TAES_LNC015677)
Source: RNAcentral
CUAAUCUAAGCAUCACACCGCGAAAGACUACCACCACCUUCCGCCGACCGCUGGCCACCUCCGGCCUGCCUAUGCGAGCUCCUCCCGACAGCGACAACCCCCUCACCUGGAAGCGGGAACACUGUCGUCGUCGUCGGAGGAGGAGAUGGAGUUCCUGUGCGAUUGUGGCGCCACCGCCGUCGUCGCGGACGUGGCAGCCACGCUCGCGAGCACCGCCGGUAUCCAGGCGUCCUCUCCCUCUCAUGUCGCCUCCGAGGUGAGAAAAACCACAAAGGGUCCCGCCGAUGGUGGAAGAGCGGAUCGAAUCGAGCUUAUGCGCUGCUGUUAUGGUUGCGCUUGCAGAGAGGUACCGGAGCGGCGAGCUGAAGAGGGCUCUUUCCGAGGCUGAAGCCUACGCCUUCAAGGUAUAAAAUCCUUGUCGAUUCGGUUCAAUAGUUGCUCAACUCGGAUGCCUGAAUUUGUUCCAGUUUUGUCGAUUUCUUUCUUGGGACAGAAUUUAGAGUGUGAUGUUCUGUAGCUAUGAUUUGUCCAUCGAUGUUGAUCUAGUACAAUUGAUUGAAUACAUCUCCCGCCUCGCCUCCUCUGACACAUACGAUUCUCGGCAUCUCACUCAUGUUCUCAUGGUGCUGCGGGCCAAUAUAGGUGGAGUUGCGCAUGGGGUGAGCAGACCGGCCUUGCUCCUGAAUUUCUGUCCGUGUUUGGGCUGGCCGGCGAAGAUGGCAAAUUCCGGCGCUUUGGGUGCCUCAGCUUCGGUUCCUUUGCUGUUCUGGUGGCCGUGCGUUUCCUUGGCUUCGUCUGCAUGUGUUGAGCUUUCCUGAAUCCCUGUCGAGUUAUUGUUUUUUCUAGAAUACUCAGUUCCUGGGUGGACGCUUAGUAAGCAGAUAAGUGGACUUGGGCACUUGACUCGUUUCUUAAUAGGAAAUUCUUAUAUUCAGA